This 442-nucleotide long non-coding RNA is filed under the name Triticum aestivum (bread wheat). Its description in RNAcentral is "long non-coding RNA (TAES_LNC003869)". The record is from RNAcentral. Lineage: Eukaryota; Viridiplantae; Streptophyta; Magnoliopsida; Poales; Poaceae.
UUAGCUCUUUCACCUUGUCAGACAGUCCCUUCAAUCCAAGAAUAUACAACAUCUAGAAGAAAUAAAACCAAUGACAUAAUUAGUAAACAAUUUCAGCGACAAAAGGAUAAAAAAAUUGGAUUUUUAAAACAAAACAUGCACCUGCACAAGUAUAUGUUAUAUUAACAAAAGUGCAGAUCCCGUCCCACUCUUCUUUCGAAUAGCAAUCUUGGUGAGUGAUCUCGACCGGGUUCGAUCGGCAUGGCGUGUCGUUCCUCCAGGAGUGGGUGCUGAGAGGAAGGAUGGCAAACCUCCAUUGUCAAUCGGCCGGAGCUGCAUCGUCAUUUGGAUCAGAGCAUGGACGAAAUCGAGAUGGUAGAGGUUGAGGAAUUUGUAGGACGUGAGGGUUUAGGGUGGGCAUCACGAGAACUCACCCAUAUCUUGGGAGACGGUAGACCCGAGG